This 6306-nucleotide long non-coding RNA is filed under the name Triticum aestivum (bread wheat). RNAcentral's name for it is "long non-coding RNA (TAES_LNC012430)". Lineage: Eukaryota; Viridiplantae; Streptophyta; Magnoliopsida; Poales; Poaceae. The record is from RNAcentral.
AAGUCCCUCGUACCUACACAAACAAAUAAGAACCUCGUAACCAACGCGAUAAAGGGGUUGUCAAUCCCUUCACGGCCACUUGUGAAAGUGAGAUCUGAUAGAGAUAAUAAGAUAAGAUAAAUAAUGAUAAAUAAUUUUGGUAUUUUUAUGAUAUAGAUUGAAAAGUAAAGAUUGAAAAAUAAAGUAGAUUGGAAACUUAUAUGAUGGAAGAUAGACCCGGCGAUAGCAGGGGUAGCAAGGCACGUAUUGUAUUGGUGGAGCAGUUUGGCAUUGAAGACUUCAUCAUGUUCCACAUGGACUUUGACCCGGAGCUCGUGGCACAGUUCUUUGCUUCCGUCCACUUUCACACGGAUGGGGAGCGGACUAUGACUUGGAUGACCAAUGGGAAGAGGUUGUCUGCUACUUGGAAGGAAUUCAUGGAGAUGCUGCAUGUUCGUGAUGAGGGGCUCGAUGUGCCCGUUGGUGCCCGCCCUCACGGCAACCCAGAGUCCGCCAACAAGAACAAGCUUCAACAGUUCCUUGUGGAGAAGAAGUUAGCCAAUGGCACGCAGUCUUGGGUGCUCAACCCUUUCCUCAAUAUCAUGCAGCGGAUCUUCCGCAACACUCUCUUUCCGGGCAUUGGUGACAAGGAUAAGGUGCAUGCUUAUCUCGUGGAUAUGAUGCUUCUGUGUGAGGAGGCACGUCAUCAUGCUGCCCAACCACUGGACAUCUCUCAUAUCAUGUGGGGUGAGCUCCGGUUUGCGGUCUACAAUCGCAAAGUUCCCAUCUACAGUCCAUACCUGCACCUCUUGAUCUCGAAGACAUGGAGAAGCUCUAUCCGAAGGAAGACUUUUCUGCUCCAAACUGGGUUCACCACGAGCCUAUCAGCUAUGUCAGAAGAACAAAUGGGCCAAUACCACUACCAAGGCUGAGGCUGAGGCUGCUAGGAUGAAUGUUGAUGAGGACGAGGUUGAGGAGGAGGAGGCUGAGGACAGUUCUGUUGGGUAUGCUCCUCCAUCUUCUGAGCCCUCUUGGGAUAAGAAGCUGAAGGCAAAGAUGAAGACCCUGUUCUACAUGCAGGCCAAGGGGCAGUACAAGACCCAUGUUGCUUCCAAAUCGCUAGCGCGACAAGAGGAUCUUGAGGAUGUUCAGCAAGAUCGUGGAGAGCGGGUCAGAGAAGAACAUCACUCCUGAGGCUGACUGGAUGACCAAGCAGGGCUAUUAGUGGACCGAGUCAGAGGAGGAGUCCAAUCCCGCUACCGAGACCGAUGAGGAGCGUGUUGGGUGAUCGUUGCACAGGAUGCUACCACAUGUGUCGUAGGUGUCCUCUCUGCCUUUUUCGUGUCUUGAUGCCAAAGGGGGAGAGAGUUUAGGAUUUGCUUUCAUGUCUCUGUUGUCAUUUUGUUGGACCUUCGUUCGUGUUGCUUUGGUUUGUUGGUUUGCAUUUGUGUUCGUGUGUGUCCCGGAGACUAUCAUAUGGUGUAAGACAUAUGCACUAAAGCUUAUCUUAUUAUCUAUUUUGCUUAGUAGUUUGUGAGCCUAUGCUAUCUUGUGCACUUUACUUUAUGCUCAUAUUCAUUACCUUGCCUCCAUGCUUAGUGUCAUUUACAUAUUGUUGCAAGGAAUGCCUUGUCUAUAAAAUAUAGGGGGAGUGUUGAUCCUAGUAGGUGUGCCGUGCAGUCCAAGGCAUAUAUAUAGAGUGCACACAUCUAGGGGGAGCCUGUCUAUAUUGUGUAGAUGUUGGGUUUGCUUAUGUUCAUUUUUGUAUCCUUAUGUGCAAAUUCUGUAUUGUCAUCAAUCCACCAAAAGGGGGGAGAUUGUAAGGGCAUAUUUCUCCCUAUGUGGUUUUGGUGAUUGAUGACAAUGCAUUUGCGGACUAAUCAUGUGCAUUGAGCAUUUCAGAUAUCUCAUGUCUAGGCACAAGACGUUUCGUUGCCCCUUGGAGCCUGAGUGAAGAUGGCGUUUCUCUAUGUUUCUUUUCGGUGGAUUUGAGUCAUACGAAAGCCGUACUAUUAAGAGGGGGUCCGUGUCGGAAAGGUUAGGGUGGAAUCAACACGUACACAUCUGUUCCUUUGCACACCGACCUUUUAUCCGUGUCUUUGCAAAAUGAAGGACUCCAAGUGGUAUUGUGUUGUGGCAUGCGGUAGUACUACUCAAGGGAGCAGUAGUACCACAGAGGCUCACGGUAGUACUUGCCAGAGACGCGGUAGUACCGCUCCUCAGGCGCGGUAGUACCAUGGCCUCUAGUCCAGCAUAGUAACAUGCGCGGAAGUAGGGGCGGAUGUAAUUUUUUACAUUUGCGCCCUACACGGUAGUACCGCUCCCUACUUGUGGUAGUACCGUGUCGGAUUUUUGCACAAAUCAAAACUCAGCGGAAGUAGUCACGGGUGUAAUUUUAUUAGUCCGUGCCUUCCCAGCCUAGACAAACCCUGCCUUGCGGUAGUACCGCAAGGGCGCGCGGUAGUACCGCUCUGGCGGUUCUACCGCUCCUUGCUUCAAUGCAACAGGGGCUCGUUUGGCUCCUACCGUGCAAGCGGUAGUACCGUAGUGCCUUGCGGUAGUACCGCAGGUUGGUGCGGUAGUACCGCAUGUAGCGGGUUGAAUAAGUAGAUAACGGUUGGAUUUUUCCUCUCACUAUAUAAGGGGGGUCUUCUUCUCCAAGUUGAUCACCUCUUCCAUCCCUAAGCUCCAUUCUUGCUCCAAGCUCCAUUUUACCCGAUCUCUCUCCCUAGCCAAUCAAACUUGUUGAUUCUCUAAGGAUUGGUUGAGAAGGCCCCGAUCUACACUUCCACCAAGAGAAAUUUGAUUCCCCCCACUAAUCCCUUGCGGAUCUUGUUACUCUCGGCUGUUUGAGCACCCUAGACGGUUGAGGUCACCGCGGAGCCAUAUUCCAUUGUGGUGAAGCUUCAUGGUGUCGUUGGGAGCCUCCAAUUAAGUUGUGGAGAUUGCCCCAACCUUGUUUAUAAAGGUUCGGUCGCCUCCUCCAAGGGCACCAAUAGUGGAAUCAUGGCAUCUCGCAUUGUGUGAGGGCGUGAGGAGAAUACAGUGCCCUAGUGGCUUCUUGGGGAGCAUUGUUCCUCCACACUACUCCAACGGGGACGUACUUCCUCUCAAAGGGAAGGAACUUCGUAACACAUCCUCAUCUCCACCGACUCCAUUCUUGGUUAUCUCUCACCUUUACUUGUGCAAGCUUAUAUUGUGUUGUAUCCCUUGCUUGCUUGUGUGCUUGUUGUUGUUGCAUCAUAUAGGUUGCUCACCUAGUUGCAUAUUUAGACAACCUACUUUGAUGCAAAGUUUAAUUUGGUAAGGAAAAGCUAAAAAUUGUUAGUUGCCUAUUCACCCCUCCUCUAGUCAACUAUAUCGAUCCUUUCAGAUUCUUUCAAAGCGGUUUGAGUGGAUGCUAGAAAUCCUAUGGGAUGUAGUUAAAAAAAUUCUUAGAAAAAAAAUUCUAUAGGGUUUAAUUCUAUAAAUAAAAAUAUAUAAAAAAAUCCUAAGAAUUCUAAUCCUGAGAUCCAUAUGGUGGUGGGUUCACUGCCAAAAGAGUGGUGGGAUUUUCUUCUCUGGUGGUGCGACCCGCAAAAGUCCUCUUCUGAGGUAGCAGACAUUGCACAUAAGCGGCGGGCAGCAUUUCGGCCAUGGGCGGCCGUGACUAGGGUCAAUCUCCUUCUAGAUAUCGAGAUGGGGCUGGGCCUGCUACCAAAAGAGUGGUGUGAUUUUCUUAUCUGGUGUUGUACGCAGAAGUCCCCUUCUAGGGCGACAACCAUUGGCACAAAGGCAGUGAAAAGCAUUUCUGCCAUGUGGAUGGCGGCGAUGAGGUCGGUCUCCUUCUAUAGCUUGAGAUGGCGGUGGGCCCACUAGCAAAAGAGUGGUGGGAUUUUCUUCUUUGGUGGUUUAGCGACCCGCAAAAGUCCUCUUCUAGGGUGGCAUCAAUUUGCACACAUGUCAGGGGCAUUGUUUUAGCCAUGUGGAUAACCGGGGCAAGGGUCGAUCUUCUUUCAGAGAUUGAGAUGGUGGUGGGCCCACUGCCAAAAGACCGGUGGUUUUUCUUCUCUGGUGGUGUAGCAACACGCAAAAGUCUUCUUCUAGGGCGGCAGGCAUUGGCACACAUGCGGGUGGGCAACUUUUGAGCCAUGUGGAUGGUGGGGCAUCACGUGAUUGUGUCAUGGUAGCAACUAGUGUGGAUAAUAGGGGUGUCAUAGGUGACGCUUCGACUGCGCCGCUCGAGCAUGCUAUGUCAAACCAUUAUCUAUUCACUCACUGAAAUGAAUCAAUGGAUAUAGUUCAAUGCUUACCAUCUAGGUUAGCUAUGCUCGGUAACCAUCUAGUGAAACCUUCCAUGUUACAUGAGAACAAUUCUUUUCGAUUUUAAGACCCAUUACUACAGGUGGUCGCUAACCAUGUUAAGAUAUUUUGUGCACAACAACGAUCUUCUUUGGAAGGACCAUUGGCUACGAGCGAGGUGACGCUUUGUCCGGGUAGGAAUGACUGAGUGUCACGUGACUGCAUAAUGCAUGGCAUUGAUCUAUGUCUGUCAUUGGUGACUCUUAGUCAUGUCACUAGAGCAUACACGCUGCAACCAUGUAGUGGUGAUUUGUCUUCUCCUCCAUUCAUCAACAACGUUUGAACUGUUGGAUCACAUAAUUAGAUUAAACACCGACAUUGAUUUUGUUAAGAUCUUGGAUGAUUAGUGCAUGAUCUAGAGGAGUUCUGCUGGUGGCAUGCGAGGACCAUCUCCUGGGGAUAUCAUGGUGGAUUGAGACAAAGUCAUGGAUGGUGAAACUCUUUGACGAUCCUCAUUCAACAUAGUGACUAAAACACCACUUCAGUCCUGGGUGAAAACUCGCGAUCUCACCUUUGUUGGUUAGAGUCCACAAUGGCGCACUCGCGUAGCCUGUUGAAGGUUUGGCCUGAAAGAAUGGCGACAUUUCAUAGGUUCUUUUUUUCACCUUUGUCAUGGACAUGUCAUUUGCUAUCCACUCCAUGUACUCAAGAUGCUUGCCUUGCAUGUAUCUUCUACAGUGGCGGAGCUAGCAUUUGACACCAAGGUGGUCCGCCUCAAAUUUUUUUUAUAAGCAAUAUGACAUGUAAAAGUUCUUACCAAUAUCACAAAGAAAUAGAUCAAUAUCACAAUAUGAUCUUGCAAAAACACUAAAAUUCUCAAUUAAAUCUCCGUCUUGCAUAAAAAAGCCUACAUAGUACAUACUACACAGACCAUAGUACAUACCUUGAGAAGUUCAAAAAGACUAUGUUUCUGGCAUACACACAAGUUCUCCGGUUUGCUCUUCGGCCACAUCCGACAUAUUCCCUGCCUUCUUCUUCUUCCCUAUCUUAAUAGCUUGUCUCUGAAAAAGAGAAACAAUGUCUCGUCCGGCCCUCUUCAUUCCUCAACAAUUCUGUAACAAAAAAUACUUUCGAUCAAUAAAGCUAAUUGAGGCAGAAAUAAUGUACAAAAUUAUGUAUCUGUUCAUUCAUGUACAAAAAAAUUGCAGUCAAAAGGGAAGGAACAAAUCAGUCCCUGGAACAUAUGGGUACUCCACGAUGGUCCGAAACUGUAACUAGACAAACAUAGCUGCCAUAAUUCCAUGUUUUACAGUUUAUAUCUUAUAUAAAUUAUCUUCCUCACAGCGUAAAUCAAACAAAUUGAAACGCAAUAUGCCGGUACCAGAUAAAGAAAACUUAAGAUUUUUUCUUUCCUAUAAAAAGUGCUUCCACUCAGCCACACAACUAUACAGAAGACAGUAAAAGCAGAAGGAUUUGCUCUCUGCGCAUCUACAUCUAUGUGAUGAGACAACCAUGAUCCAUCAGACCAUCACAGGUACAUGGAGUACCACACAACAACUUACUACACUGCACAUUGAGAUUCCAGAUCCACACAGCAACAAACCAUGCAUAGCUAUGAUCAGAUUCUGCCGGGAGUUACUAAAAGUGAGGCCAUAAGAUGGAGCAAGCAUAGGCAGGUUAUUAAAGGAUUGAAAUUGAGGCAAAAAAGAAAACCCUCGCUUGUGUUCAUACAGAAAAUUGAGCCAAAAGAGCAAACCCUCACUUGUUCGCCGACAUUGCAGGGGGGCGGCCGGGCGGGGGCAGGCCAGCAGGGGCGCGCACAGGGCAGGGGCGCAGCCGCGCACAAGCAGGGGGUGCGGCUGGACGCCUGGACGCCUGGACCGGGCGGGUGGGAAGCCGGGAAGGGGAGGCGGGAGCGGGGAGCCUCCUGGGCGGCUGGGCUCCGGGCUCCGGGCGGCCGGAGACCGGCGAGGACGAGAGGAACGGCGCAACGGCUGGGUGUCGGGGUGGAGCAGGGGAACGGCGAGGCGGCUGUGCGCGAGGGGG